GACGAACGCUGGCGGCGUGCCUAACACAUGCAAGUCGAGCGGAGCCAAUCAGAAGAUUCCUUCGGGAUGAUUUUGAGGAAGCUUAGCGGCGGACGGGUGAGUAACGCGUGAGUAACCUGCCUGUAAGAGGGGGAUAACACUGAGAAAUUGGUACUAAUACCCCGUAAUAUUACUGAAGGCAUCUUUGGUAGUUGAAAGUUCCGGCGGUUAUGGAUGGGCAUGCGUUGUAUUAGCUAGUUGGUGGGGUAAAGGCCUACCAAGGCGACGAUCCAUAGCUGGUCUGAGAGGAUGAUCAGCCACAUUGGGACUGAGACACGGCCCAAACUCCUACGGGAGGCAGCAGUGGGGAAUAUUGGACAAUGGCGGAAAAGCCUGAUCCAGCCAUGCCGCGUGAGUGAUGAAGGCCCGUAGGGUUGUAAAAGGCUCUUUC
This 430-nucleotide ribosomal RNA is filed under the name uncultured bacterium. RNAcentral describes it as "bacterial SSU rRNA". It matches the Rfam family "Bacterial small subunit ribosomal RNA", at positions 28 to 437 of the family's 1533-position model. The record is from RNAcentral.